This 481-nucleotide ribosomal RNA is filed under the name uncultured bacterium. Its description in RNAcentral is "bacterial SSU rRNA". It matches the Rfam family "Bacterial small subunit ribosomal RNA", at positions 29 to 506 of the family's 1533-position model. The record is from RNAcentral.
AUGAACGCUGGCGGCGUGCCUAACACAUGCAAGUCGAGCGAGAUUUAGUGGAGUGGAGACUUCGGUUGAAGCGAAGCUAAUGAAAGCGGCGGACGGGUGAGUAACGCGUGGGCAACCUGCCCCAUACAAAGGGAUAGCCACUGGAAACGGUGAUUAAUACCUUAUAAGUCGGUAGUCUCGCAUGAGACAGCCGACAAAGAUUUAUCGGUAUGGGAUGGGCCCGCGUUUGAUUAGCUAGUUGGUGAGGUAACGGCUCACCAAGGCGACGAUCAAUAGCCGACCUGAGAGGGUGAUCGGCCACACUGGAACUGAGACACGGUCCAGACUCCUACGGGAGGCAGCAGUGGGGAAUAUUGCACAAUGGGCGCAAGCCUGAUGCAGCAACGCCGCGUGAGUGAUGAAGGCCUUCGGGUCGUAAAACUCUGUCCUAUGGGAAGAAAAAAAUGACGGUACCAUAGGAGGAAGCCCCGGCUAACUACGU